Molecule: transfer RNA, 64 nt
Filed under: Nallachius americanus
Lineage: Eukaryota; Metazoa; Arthropoda; Insecta; Neuroptera; Dilaridae
Description: tRNA-Leu
Source: RNAcentral
UCUAUAGUGGCAGAAUAGUGCAAUAACUUUAAGCGUUAUAUAUAAAGAAAACCUUUCUAUAGAA